Molecule: long non-coding RNA, 494 nt
Organism: Eurytemora carolleeae
Lineage: Eukaryota; Metazoa; Arthropoda; Copepoda; Calanoida; Temoridae
Exons: 2
Source: RefSeq, a predicted model, not a curated record
GGGAUUUCCUAAAUUCCACUCUAAUAUAUAUGGGUUUGAUAGUUCACGGGAUUGUAGCCGUGUGUUGACAUUGAUAAUCAAGAGUAGGCGUUUACUACAUAUAUAUUAUCAAGAAAAAUUUUAUAGUGGCUCAAAAGUAUCAAAACGAUCAAACUGAAAUAAAAUUUUUUAUUUUCAGACGGAUAACUUUAGAUUUCCAUCACUCUUAGUAAUUUUACUCUUCUAAGCUAAUGUCACAGUUCAAUGAGUAUAAUGGAAAAAAAAACUAAAUACCUUUGAAGUAAGAAGUUUCCCGCCUGAAGUGCUUGAAUAUUGUGUAAAGCUGUCUGAUUGUUCAGGGUUAGCUGGAAAUCCUCGGGACAAGUCAUGUUCAUCAUUGUGCUCACUGGUAGUGUAUGCAUGUACAGUUCAGCAGAUGUACUCAUUGAACCCCGGCGGCGUAAAUUCGCGGACGGUUUAAUCUCUCCGUUGCCUACUAUAAAGCUUUGACUAUA